GACGAACGCUGGCGGCGUGCCUAAUACAUGCAAGUCGAACGAAGCUUUUUUAACUGGUGCUUGCACCGACUUAAACAACUGUGUGGCGAACGGGUGAGUAACACGUGGGUAACCUGCCCCAAAGCGGGGGAUAACAUUUGGAAACAAAUGCUAAUACCGCAUAACCACAGAAACCACAUGGUUUCUGUGUCAAAGAUGGUUUCGGCUAUCACUUUGGGAUGACCCGCGGAGUAUUAGCUAGUUGGUAAGGUAAUGGCUUACCAAGGCAAUGAUACGUAGCCGAACUGAGAGGUUGAUCGGCCACAUUGGGACUGAGACACGGCCCGAACUCCUACGGGAGGCAGCAGUAGGGAAUCUUCCACAAUGGACGAAAGUCUGAUGGAGCAACGCCGCGUGAGUGAAGAAGGUUUUCGGAUCGUAAAACUCUGUUGUCAGAGAAGAACGUGUGCGAGAGUAACUGUUCGUGCAGUGACGGUAUCUGGCCAGAAAGCCACGGCUAACUACGUGCCAGCCGCCGCCGUAA
Molecule: ribosomal RNA, 523 nt
Filed under: uncultured bacterium
Lineage: Bacteria
Description: partial 16S ribosomal RNA
Rfam family: Bacterial small subunit ribosomal RNA
Source: RNAcentral